CACCAAUCAACACACAACUCGACAACCAAAUCAACACAAUAAACACAAUGUCUUGGAUCAAUUUCCUUGGUUUAGCAACCAUUUUACUUUUCAUCACCCAAUUUUUUUUUUCAGUCUGGUAUCAGUUUUAUUUUAAGUCUUGUUAUUUUCACUCCAAACAAUCAAUUUACAACUCUUUUGCACAUAUUUCAUUAUCUAUAAUUAAAAUCUUCAGCUUUCAAUACAAUUUACAUUUUCUUCUUCAUAUUUCAACUUUUGCAAAUCUACUCUUUAAUUUUCAAAGCACAUUUUACAAUUUUCCUAUAAAUGAUUUCAUUCAAGCAAUUAGUCUUUUAAUUUCUCAAAAAGCACAUUUACAUGCCCUACACAGUUUUACAAUUUCUCAAGCAAACAAUUUACUUUUUUAGUUAAGUGCUCAAUUUAUAUUUCCUGCACAGAUUUAUUUUUCAAUGCAAAUUUUAUGACAGUUGCUUAAAAUGUUAUAUCUUUAUCAUUGCAUGCUUGGUCUUUUGAGUUUAUUUUUUGUUCAAUUAGCUUGUUAAUGCUUGUUUUUGUAUUAUUAGGUACUUACAAGAGCAUGGAAGAGAUUAUGUAGCAUGAAGAGAUGAAUUGAGCACACAAAAAAAGCAAAGUACACAUCAAGCACUUUAAGGCAUAUGAAAGCGCGAUUCUAAUGAGGACUUAGCCAAUGAAAAAAUGGGAUUAGUGGUGUCUUAUUCAUGGUAUUUUGAGGCUAAUGGUGAAAAACGAAUAUAUUUGAAUAUCAACUCACGUUGAGCUUCUUUGGACAGUCUCAAUGAAACUUCUAUGUGAUCUACUAUAUAGAAUUUGAAUAUGAACUUAUGGGCUUAGAUGGAUCUUAAUUGACAUAUGUUGAGGCCACAUGUGAAAAAUAAGUGCAAUCGGGCCAAAUUAUAUUAAGGGUCACAUAUUGAGUGUGUUGGGCCUCUUUAUGUUGAGUUACGUAGGACCAAAAGUUAAGGCCUUAAUUUGUAGAUUUAAUUAUUUUAUUUAAGACCCCAAAUAAAUAAAAUAGAGGUAUAUGGGUCCCCUAGGUCAUGCAAGUGGCAAAUCUGUAUAAAGGAGAGUUGUUUUUAACUUUUUUUUUUUUCCUACUUUAACUAGGGUUCUUGAGAGAGAAUUAAGUCAGAUUGCAACUAGAACUCUUAAAUCAGAUCUGGAGUCAUAGUUAACUUAUUUUUCUCUAUAAAAGGGUCUAAAAUAUAGAUCUAGGGAUUGUCAAUUUCCUUCUACUCAUAAUGGCCAAAUUUCCGUUUUGUGCAUUCAAAUGUUUUGAUUGCUUGAUCUAGUUGCUGGUGUGAUUUCUUCUUCUUCCUUUUUGGCUUGUGGAGUGCUUUUACAUCCUUUGGAGUGUGUGGUAUCAUCAUUAAUAUCAGAUUCAAGUUGAUCAAAUUCCAUUCAAAAGAGGCAACAUGCUUUUCUAUUUUCUUUUGUUAAUUUGUUUAUGUUUAAUGUUCUUGGUUAUGUGUGAGUAGUUUUGUAAUUCAAUAGAGAGACAGUUGAAGCCAUGGAACAUGUUAUCAUGAGACUUUGAUUUGAGUUUAAUAAAAUCCAG
Molecule: unclassified non-coding RNA, 1576 nt
Filed under: Hevea brasiliensis (rubber tree)
Lineage: Eukaryota; Viridiplantae; Streptophyta; Magnoliopsida; Malpighiales; Euphorbiaceae
Source: RNAcentral